ACGCUUUCGGGUGCCGCCUCCGGUGCAAGUCCCCCUGACCGGGGCUCCCACCCCGAGAGGGUGCAAGGCCCGUAGCGGCCGGAAGGCGGUCCCGGAUGUCCUCUCCCGGGAGUCGGGUUGCUUGAGAGUGCAGCCCCAAUCAGGUGGUAAACUCCAUCUAAGGCUAAAUACGACCUGGAGACCGAUAGCGAACAAGUACCGUGAGGGAAAGUUGAAAAGGACUUUGAAGAGAGAGUUCAAGAGUACGUGAAACCGUUCGGAGGUAAACGAGUGGGCCCUCGAAGUGUGAAGGCGGGGGGACUCAGCCGAACGCCGUCGAGCCCGCGGGCGGGUCCGCGCUUCCCUCCCGGGACGCGGUCCGCCCGUGUGCUGGCUCCGGUUUGCGGCGCAUUUCCUCCCGUCCUCCGACGCCGCGACCGGUCGGGCGCGCCACGAGCAGUCGGCCUUACUCGCGGGAAACGGAAGGUAGCCGGGUCGGCGCGCACGCGCCGCCCCCCGGUGUUCUAGCCGUCCCGCAAUCGAGUCAGCCGUUCGCCCGACCGCAGGACCCAAGGCCCUCAGG
RNAcentral lists this ribosomal RNA (562 nucleotides) under Mitogoniella modesta. Its description in RNAcentral is "eukaryotic LSU rRNA". It matches the Rfam family "Eukaryotic large subunit ribosomal RNA", at positions 160 to 494 of the family's 3401-position model. Lineage: Eukaryota; Metazoa; Arthropoda; Arachnida; Opiliones; Gonyleptidae. The record is from RNAcentral.